UGCGGAAGGAUCAUUACAGUAGUCGCCCGGGUUGCCGCAAGGCCUCCCGGGUAACCUACCACCCUUUGUUUAUUACACUUUGUUGCUUUGGCAAGCCUGCCCUCGGGCUGCUGGCUCCGGCCGGCGAGCGCUUGCCAGAGGACCUAAACUCUGUUUGUCUAUACUGUCUGAGUACUAUAUAAUAGUUAAAACUUUCAACAACGGAUCUCUUGGUUCUGGCAUCGAUGAAGAACGCAGCGAAAUGCGAUAAGUAAUGUGAAUUGCAGAAUUCAGUGAAUCAUCGAAUCUUUGAACGCACAUUGCGCCCCCUGGUAUUCCGGGGGGCAUGCCUGUCCGAGCGUCAUUACAACCCUCAAGCUCAGCUUGGUGUUGGGCCCCGCCGCCCCGGCGGGCCCUAAAGUCAGUGGCGGUGCCGUCCGGCUCCGAGCGUAGUAAUUCUUCUCGCUCUGGAGGCCCGGUCGUGUGCUCGCCAGCAACCCCCAAUUUUUUUCAGGUUGACCUCGGAUCAGGUAGGGAUACCCGCUGAACUUAAGCAUAUCUAAAACCCGGAAGAAAACAUUACAGUAGUCGCCCGGGUUGCCGCAGGCCUCCCGGGUAACCUACCACCCUUUGUUUAUUACACUUUGGUUGCUUUGGCAAGCUGCCUCGGGCUGCUGGCUCGGCCGGCGAGCGCUUGCCAGAGGACCUAAACUCUGUUUGUCUAUACCUGUCUGAGUACUAUAUAAUAGUUAAAAAC
RNAcentral lists this ribosomal RNA (736 nucleotides) under Pseudogymnoascus pannorum. RNAcentral describes it as "eukaryotic LSU rRNA". The stretch from base 190 to 343 matches the Rfam family "5.8S ribosomal RNA". The record is from RNAcentral. RNAcentral also lists the same sequence under 1 other name. Lineage: Eukaryota; Fungi; Ascomycota; Leotiomycetes; Thelebolales; Thelebolaceae.